Molecule: ribosomal RNA, 449 nt
Filed under: uncultured bacterium
Lineage: Bacteria
Description: partial 16S ribosomal RNA
Rfam family: Bacterial small subunit ribosomal RNA
Source: RNAcentral
AACGAACGCUGGCGGCAUGCCUAACACAUGCAAGUCGAACGAUCACUUCGGUGAUAGUGGCGCACGGGUGCGUAACGCGUGGGAAUCUGCCCCUUGGUUCGGAAUAACUCAGAGAAAUUUGAGCUAAUACCGGAUGACGACGAAAGUCCAAAGAUUUAUCGCCGAGGGAUGAGCCCGCGUAGGAUUAGCUAGUUGGUGGGGUAAAGGCCUACCACGGCGACGCUCCUUGGCUGGUCUGAGAGGAUGAUCAGCCACACUGGGACUGAGACACGGCCCAGACUCCUACGGGAGGCAGCAGUGGGGAAUAUUGGACAAUGGGCGAAAGCCUGAUCCAGCAAUGCCGCGUGAGUGAUGAAGGCCUUAGGGUUGUAAAGCUCUUUUACCCGGGAUGAUAAUGACAGUACCGGGAGAAUAAGCUCCGGCUAACUCCGUGCCAGCCGCCGCAGUAA